RNAcentral lists this non-coding RNA (46 nucleotides) under Schistosoma curassoni. The record is from RNAcentral. Lineage: Eukaryota; Metazoa; Platyhelminthes; Trematoda; Strigeidida; Schistosomatidae.
GCACUGCUGAGGAGUUCCACAAUAGGGCGAAACGGCCAUCCAGUGC